GUGGGAACCAUAAGGGUCUGUGC
Molecule: microRNA, 23 nt
Filed under: Macaca mulatta (Rhesus monkey)
Lineage: Eukaryota; Metazoa; Chordata; Mammalia; Primates; Cercopithecidae
Description: mml-miR-6827-5p
Source: miRBase by way of RNAcentral